AUCUCCGUGGGUUAGUGGUUAAGUCAUUGGCGUUCUAAGCUAGAGACUGGGUUCGAUUCCCAGCGGAGACA
This 71-nucleotide transfer RNA is filed under the name Strongylocentrotus purpuratus (purple sea urchin). It matches the Rfam family "tRNA". From Rfam's summary of the family: Transfer RNA (tRNA) molecules are approximately 80 nucleotides in length. Lineage: Eukaryota; Metazoa; Echinodermata; Echinoidea; Camarodonta; Strongylocentrotidae. The record is from Rfam by way of RNAcentral.